RNAcentral lists this ribosomal RNA (440 nucleotides) under uncultured Sphingobacteriales bacterium. RNAcentral's name for it is "bacterial SSU rRNA". It matches the Rfam family "Bacterial small subunit ribosomal RNA", at positions 939 to 1382 of the family's 1533-position model. The record is from RNAcentral. Lineage: Bacteria; Pseudomonadati; Bacteroidota; Sphingobacteriia; Sphingobacteriales.
AUGUGGUUUAAUUCGAUGAUACGCGAGGAACCUUACCUGGGCUCAAAUGUAUGUUGACGUAUUCUGAAAGGGAUACUUCUUCGGACAAUAUACAAGGUGCUGCAUGGUUGUCGUCAGCUCGUGCCGUGAGGUGUCGGGUUAAGUCCCAUAACGAGCGCAACCCCUAUCAUUAGUUGCCAUCAGGUCAAGCUGGGGACUCUAAUGAAACUGCCUACGCAAGUAGUGAGGAAGGUGGGAUGACGUCAAAUCAGCACGGCCCUUACGUCCAGGGCUACACACGUGCUACAAUGGCCGGUACAAAGGGCAGCUACCUGGUGACAGGAUGCUAAUCUCAAAAGCCGGUCUCAGUUCGGAUCGGAGUCUGCAACCCGACUCCGUGAAGCUGGAAUCGCUAGCAAUCGCGCAUCAGCCAUGGCGCGGUGAAUACGUUCCCGGGCCUU